AUUGAACGCUGGCGGCAGGCUUAACACAUGCAAGUCGAGCGGGGGAAGGUAGCUUGCUACUGGACCUAGCGGCGGACGGGUGAGUAAUGCUUAGGAAUCUGCCUAUUAGUGGGGGACAACAUCUCGAAAGGGAUGCUAAUACCGCAUACGUCCUACGGGAGAAAGCAGGGGAUCUUCGGACGUGGCGCUAAUAGAUGAGCCUAAGUCGGAUUAGCUAGUUGGUGGGUAAAGGCCUACCAAGGCGACGAUCUGUAGCGGGUCUGAGAGGAUGAUCCGCCACACUGGGACUGAGACACGGCCCAGACUCCUACGGGAGGCAGCAGUGGGGAAUAUUGGACAAUGGGGGGAACCCUGAUCCAGCCAUGCCGCGUGUGUGAAGAAGGCCUUAUGGUUGUAAAGCACUUUAAGCGAGGAGGAGGCUACUUUAGUUAAUACCUAGAGAUAGUGGACGUUACUCGCAGAAUAAGCACCGGCUAACUCUGUGCCAGCCGCCGCGGUAA
This 500-nucleotide ribosomal RNA is filed under the name uncultured bacterium. RNAcentral's name for it is "partial 16S ribosomal RNA". It matches the Rfam family "Bacterial small subunit ribosomal RNA", at positions 30 to 523 of the family's 1533-position model. The record is from RNAcentral.